UCUCCGUUGGUGAACCAGCGGAGGGAUCAUUACCGAGUGUAAAAACUCCCAAACCAUUGUGAACCUACCACUGUUGCUUCGGCGGCCUCGCCCCGGGCGCGUUCGCGCGGCCCGGACCCAGGCGUCCGCCGGAGGCUCCAAACUCUUGUCUUUUAGUGUAUUUCUGAGUGGCAUAAGCAAAUAAAUCAAAACUUUCAGCAACGGAUCUCUUGGUUCUGGCAUCGAUGAAGAACGCAGCAAAAUGCGAUAAGUAAUGUGAAUUGCAGAAUUCAGUGAAUCAUCGAAUCUUUGAACGCACAUUGCGCCCGCCAGUAUUCUGGCGGGCAUGCCUGUCUGAGCGUCAUUUCAACCCUCAGGACCCGUUCGCGGGACCUGGCGUUGGGGAUCAGCCUGCCCCUGGCGGCGGCUGGCCCUGAAAUCCAGUGGCGGUUCCCUCGCGAACUCCUCCGUGCAGUAAUUAAACCUCUCGCGGCAGGAUAGCGGUUGAACCACGCCGUUAAACCCCCCACUUCUCAAGGUUGACCUCAGAUCAGGUAGGAAUACCCGCUGAACUUAAUGAUAAAAAGGGGAGG
This is a ribosomal RNA of 572 nucleotides. The stretch from base 190 to 343 matches the Rfam family "5.8S ribosomal RNA".